AAUAACAGAGAAUUCGAAAUCGUAAUUUGAUUGAAACAAGAAAUACAAAUUUCAAGGAAUAACAAAGAGCGUCCCGAGUUAAUAAAACUGAGAAAUUGACUCGGAAAGAAAUUUUUUGGAAGCUCCAUUGCGAGAUUCAAACCUAACCAUUAAAGGAGAAGCAGUGGGAACGACAGAACCUAUGACUGGAUAGGAUUUUCUUGAAAAGAAUCCCAAUACUUCAUUGGGUGGGAUGGCGGAACAAACCAAAAAAAUUGUCUUAUUUGAUAAGGUUAUGAA
Molecule: unclassified non-coding RNA, 279 nt
Filed under: Hevea brasiliensis (rubber tree)
Lineage: Eukaryota; Viridiplantae; Streptophyta; Magnoliopsida; Malpighiales; Euphorbiaceae
Source: RNAcentral